Drosophila ficusphila is the source of this 810-nucleotide long non-coding RNA. RefSeq lists it as uncharacterized. The record is from RefSeq and is a predicted model, not a curated record. The transcript is spliced from 2 exons. NCBI's taxonomy places the organism in Eukaryota, Metazoa, Arthropoda, Insecta, Diptera, Drosophilidae.
AUAGGUUUCUCCAAAGGUUAAGCGAAUCUAAGCCAAUUGGAUUUAAAUUUCCAAUGACAUGCAUGAAAAUCCAUAGAUAAAAACGUUUGCUAUGCAUUUUUAUUUUUUUUAAUUUUUAAAACACCAAACUUUAGUAGUUUGUUAUGCAAUGUUAUUUUUAUACCCUUGCAGAGCAAAAGAGUAUUAUAAUUUCAGUCAGAAGUUUGCAACACAGUGAAGGAGACACCUCAGACCCCAUAAAGCAUAUAUAUUCUUGAUCAGCAUCACGAGCAGAAUCGGAGUACGUCUGUACGUCUGUCCGUUUCUCCUCAAACUAGUCUCUCGGUUCUAAAGCAAUCUUGCUGAAACUUUCCCAAAAGAUGACGUUUUCUAACCACUAUUGAAUUUCGGAUUAAAUUUGAUCAAAAUCGGAUAACUCUAUCAUAAAAUAAAAAUAAAAUGCAUAGCAAACGUUUUUAUCUAUGGAUUUUCAUGCAUGUUAUUGGAAAUUUGAAUCCGAUUGGCUUAGAUUCGCUUAACCUUUGCGGAAACCUAUUUAUUCUCCCUCAGCUCAGGAUUUUCAUCAUUCAAAAAUGGUAAUCAUGAAGUCAAUGUGGUUGGUUGUUGUCGCUGUUCUGGCUGUGGCUAACUUGGGAGACGCACUGAAAAGUCCACCAAAAGAUGCCCCCAAAAUCGGUCCAAAGGGCCCCCCGGGUCUGUGAGCUUCUUCACUGACCAUUACCUUGGCGGUGCCCAAGUAAAAUGAAGUGCACAAAAGUUAGUUAACAAAUUCAAUUUAUUAAUUAAACUGGCACCAAGGCAUUAAAUGUA